This 492-nucleotide ribosomal RNA is filed under the name uncultured bacterium. RNAcentral describes it as "partial 16S ribosomal RNA". It matches the Rfam family "Bacterial small subunit ribosomal RNA", at positions 29 to 507 of the family's 1533-position model. The record is from RNAcentral.
AGUGAACGCUGGCGGUAGGCCUAACACAUGCAAGUCGAACGGCAGCACAGUAAGAGCUUGCUCUUACGGGUGGCGAGUGGCGGACGGGUGAGGAAUACAUCGGAAUCUACUUUUUCGUGGGGGAUAACGUAGGGAAACUUACGCUAAUACCGCAUACGACCUACGGGUGAAAGCAGGGGAUCUUCGGACCUUGCGCGAUUGAAUGAGCCGAUGUCGGAUUAGCUAGUUGGCGGGGUAAAGGCCCACCAAGGCGACGAUCCGUAGCUGGUCUGAGAGGAUGAUCAGCCACACUGGAACUGAGACACGGUCCAGACUCCUACGGGAGGCAGCAGUGGGGAAUAUUGGACAAUGGGCGCAAGCCUGAUCCAGCCAUACCGCGUGGGUGAAGAAGGCCUUCGGGUUGUAAAGCCCUUUUGUUGGGAAAGAAAAGCAGCAGGUUAAUACCCCGCUGUUCUGACGGUACCCAAAGAAUAAGCACCGGCUAACCCCGUG